UGGGGAAUAUUGCACAAUGGGCGCAAGCCUGAUGCAGCGACGCCGCGUGCGGGAUGGAGGCCUUCGGGUUGUAAACCGCUUUUGUUCAAGGGCAAGGCACGUCUUCGGCCGUGUUGAGUGGAUUGUUCGAAUAAGCACCGGCUAACUACGUCGCC
This 155-nucleotide ribosomal RNA is filed under the name uncultured bacterium. RNAcentral describes it as "partial 16S ribosomal RNA". It matches the Rfam family "Bacterial small subunit ribosomal RNA", at positions 355 to 509 of the family's 1533-position model. The record is from RNAcentral.